Molecule: non-coding RNA, 30 nt
Filed under: Mus musculus (house mouse)
Lineage: Eukaryota; Metazoa; Chordata; Mammalia; Rodentia; Muridae
Source: RNAcentral
UUGAUCUUUUCAAGGGAGAAAAAAAUCAUC